This is a long non-coding RNA of Oryzias melastigma (Indian medaka), 420 nucleotides long. RefSeq lists it as uncharacterized. NCBI's taxonomy places the organism in Eukaryota, Metazoa, Chordata, Actinopteri, Beloniformes, Adrianichthyidae. The record is from RefSeq and is a predicted model, not a curated record. The transcript is spliced from 3 exons.
GAAACAGUGAAGAUCAGUUUACCUGUGGUGACGGGGCGUUGGUCCAUGAAGCAGAGGAAGAGAAGAAAAACAGGACAAGGUAGAGAAGAAGUUUAAACGAGAGUUUAACGACAAGAUCACACAACACGUCGAAGAACUCCGUCCAGAACGCUCCUCCAGGCCUCAAUACGGCAACAGAUUCAUGUCUGCUCUUUAAAAAACAAGAACAUGUGAAGGACUCGCAUGAAUAUCUGCUUUGUCAUAACAAAAAAAAAAGUUUCUACCACUGGAGGAUCAGCUGAGCGGUUGCUAUGGCGACUCACUAUAAACAGAGUUUCUGAGAGAUGUGUAAAUUCACAGGAGGAGUAGAGGAUAGAGGGGGCGGAGCCAAACAAGAGCACAAAUUUACCUGGAAAGGUUGAACCACCAACCGUAACAUCU